GACGAAGUUUUAAUGCAACUAAAGAACACAGUUCAUCGAAUCCACUGAUUCAACAAGAGUCACAGAUCACGCGAUAAAGACACCAUCUAUGGAAAAAUUCUGAAUCAGAAACCAAGAAAUGAGGGAACCAAUCCGAUAAGCCCGAAGCAGAGAAAUCCCAUGAGGAGAGAAAACAAAGAUCCGACCUUUACGGCAGGAAAUCCAGCACACAAGGAGGCAUUUGUAAUCCAUCGUCCGGCAAGCUAUUUCGAGCAAAUUUAGCCGAACAGGUUUAAGCCCAAACCCAGUCCCCAAAGUGUAAGCGUUUGCAAUAAAAUAAUCGAAAUCUUCGCAUCCAUCAAUUCCAUAAAAAUCACAACAUAUCUAGGCAUAAAGUUGCCAUCUUGAACAGAUGGUUCGGAGGGAGACAGCCCACCAGUCCACUGGGGAAAUCGGAUCGAAACAAAGGCAAAGAUCUAAC
Molecule: long non-coding RNA, 460 nt
Filed under: Phoenix dactylifera (date palm)
Lineage: Eukaryota; Viridiplantae; Streptophyta; Magnoliopsida; Arecales; Arecaceae
Description: long non-coding RNA (PDAC_LNC004722)
Source: RNAcentral